This 910-nucleotide ribosomal RNA is filed under the name uncultured bacterium. RNAcentral describes it as "bacterial SSU rRNA". It matches the Rfam family "Bacterial small subunit ribosomal RNA", at positions 33 to 943 of the family's 1533-position model. The record is from RNAcentral.
ACGCUGGCGGCGUGCCUAACACAUGCAAGUCGAGCGAGAAAUAAAGGAAUGAAGCUUCGGUAGAUUUUCUUUAUGGAAAGCGGCGGACGGGUGAGUAACGCGUAGGCAACCUGCCCUGUACAGGGGGAUAGCCACCCGAAAAGGUGAUUAAUACCCCAUAACGCAAGAGAUACACAUGUAUCACUUGUCAAAGAUUUAUCGGUAUAGGAUGGGCCUGCGUCUGAUUAGCUAGUUGGUAGGGUAACGGCUUACCAAGGCAACGAUCAGUAGCCGACCUGAGAGGGUGAUCGGCCACAUUGGAACUGAGACACGGUCCAAACUCCUACGGGAGGCAGCAGUGGGGAAUAUUGCACAAUGGGCGCAAGCCUGAUGCAGCAACGCCGCGUGAAGGAUGAAGGCCUUCGGGUUGUAAACUUCUGUCCUAGGGGAAGAAACAAAUGACAUUACCCUUGGAGGAAGCCCCGGCUAACUACGUGCCAGCAGCCGCGGUAAUACGUAGGGGGCGAGCGUUAUCCGGAAUUAUUGGGCGUAAAGAGUGCGUAGGUGGCACCUUAAGCGCAGGGUUUAAGGCAAUGGCUCAACCAUUGUUCGCCUUGCGAACUGGGGUGCUUGAGUGCAGGAGGGGAAAGUGGAAUUCCUAGUGUAGCGGUGAAAUGCGUAGAUAUUAGGAGGAACACCAGUGGCGAAGGCGACUUUCUGGACUGUUACUGACACUGAGGCACGAAAGCGUGGGGAGCAAACAGGAUUAGAUACCCUGGUAGUCCACGCCGUAAACGAUGAGCACUAGGUGUCGGGGUCGCAAGACUUCGGUGCCGCAGUUAACGCAUUAAGUGCUCCGCCUGGGGAGUACGCACGCAAGUGUAAAACUCAAAGGAAUUGACGGGGACCCGCACAAGCAGCGGAGCAUGUG